ACGAGGUGAGCCUGCCAGUCAAAAAGCAGGACUCAAUCCGUUGAGCGACCUCUUUGACUUACAUAAAGCAUACUGUGUGGGUGCGCCAUCUGAUUGCAGCUAGAAGACUUACGUCUCUUUAUUUCGUAAAAAAAAUAUAUACCAAGAUGGGAAAAAUCGUAUUAAUUGCUGUCAUUUUCCUCGCUGCAGUUGCUUUGUCCCAAGCAGCAUCUAAUGCUACAAAUACGACAAGUAAGUAUAUUCUGCUUAUUUAUAUGUGAAUAUUUUUUUCACUUUCACAUCAUCGGUUACUUC
Long non-coding RNA from Exaiptasia diaphana, 294 nucleotides. RefSeq lists it as uncharacterized. NCBI's taxonomy places the organism in Eukaryota, Metazoa, Cnidaria, Anthozoa, Actiniaria, Aiptasiidae. The record is from RefSeq and is a predicted model, not a curated record. The transcript has 3 exons.